Rosa rugosa (rugosa rose) is the source of this 549-nucleotide long non-coding RNA. RefSeq lists it as uncharacterized. The transcript has 2 exons. NCBI's taxonomy places the organism in Eukaryota, Viridiplantae, Streptophyta, Magnoliopsida, Rosales, Rosaceae. The record is from RefSeq and is a predicted model, not a curated record.
CACGUGCCUAACGUUUUAAAAGCCUCACGGUACUCGUGGGCGUAAGAAAAGCCUCCACUCCGGUUUUCUCAAAUCUGAGACGAGAGAUGAAGAUUUUGAGUUGCAGCAUGUAUUUGAAUCGUCGGGUGGCCCAAGUGCUGCUGACCUUCUGAGUUGAAUUCCUGCUUUGGAUUAGCCUUGCUGUUGUUGGUAUAUAUGGUUUAGACUUUAGAGGCUAUGCCUCAUUCCCAACUUUCAGGUGUUUCCUUCAGUAUGGCUUUUGCUUCUGAGUGAUUCAUGGUGCUCUAAUUAAUGGAGUCAUUGCCCGUGGCCGGAGAGGAGGAAGUCUACCCAAUCUCCUCAGCAGUAUUGUAUGAUAGACUUAUGGGCAUUCUAGGGUGAAUACGCCGGAAGUUGCUGCGUGGAGAUCACAUGAUUCAACUUAGGCAUGAGGCCCCUAUUGUAUGUGUCAUUACAAGCUAAAUUUGUUUGUGUACUAAGCCAGAUGCUCUUUUAAAGUUUGUGACAUGUAUUUGAUUAGUUUAAUCUCACUCUCGAGUGUUUAUUGUU